AUGGCGGCCUCCGAGGUUCAGCUUGGCACGCCGAUUUCUGGCAUGGGAGAUGGACGGGACAUUCUAGAUCAUCAAACUGUAGAGGAAGAAGGCAUUGUAAUUGGAGGGGGAACUGACAGUGACUAUCAAGAGCUGCUGGAUAGAGUGUUCAACAUUAUCGCUGGAAACAAUCCAGAUCUCGCCGUGAACAGAGGAAAAGUGGUUAUGUGCCCUCCUAAGAUUCUAAGGGAGGGCACGAGGAAGACAGUAUUCGUGAACUUUAUGGAGUCGUGUAAAACGUUGCGUAGGGACCCUAAUCACGUGAUGGAUUUUUUCCUCUCUGAGAUGGCAACAAGCGGUUCACUUGAUGGGCAGCACAGGCUGGUGAUGAAAGGGAGAUUUGCUCCGAAAUCCUUUGAAUCGAUCCUCAGGAGAUACAUCAAUGCGUAUGUCAUCUGUAAUGGAUGCAAGGGCCAUGAUACCACUAUAACCAAGGAAAACCGUCUCUUCUUCCUUCGCUGCGAGCAGUGUGGGUCUUCAAGGUCCGUCGAUCGAAUCAAGGCUGGAUUUGUCGCACAUGUUGGUCGUCGCAAUGCCUGA
Molecule: ribosomal RNA, 579 nt
Filed under: Triticum aestivum (bread wheat)
Lineage: Eukaryota; Viridiplantae; Streptophyta; Magnoliopsida; Poales; Poaceae
Description: partial small subunit ribosomal RNA
Source: RNAcentral